GGAGGGUUACUCUAAUUGGUAAGAGAUCAGUCUUGAAAACUGACGUAGGGUAAAACCGAUGGGGGUUCGAGUCCCUCACCCUCCGCCA
This 88-nucleotide transfer RNA is filed under the name Bacillus cereus. RNAcentral's name for it is "tRNA-Ser". It matches the Rfam family "tRNA". Rfam says of the family: Transfer RNA (tRNA) molecules are approximately 80 nucleotides in length. Their secondary structure includes four short double-helical elements and three loops (D, anti-codon, and T loops). Lineage: Bacteria; Bacillati; Bacillota; Bacilli; Caryophanales; Bacillaceae. RNAcentral also lists the same sequence under 12 other names. The record is from RNAcentral.